RNAcentral lists this ribosomal RNA (253 nucleotides) under uncultured bacterium. Its description in RNAcentral is "partial 16S ribosomal RNA". It matches the Rfam family "Bacterial small subunit ribosomal RNA", at positions 524 to 776 of the family's 1533-position model. The record is from RNAcentral.
UACAGAGGUCUCAAGCGUUGUUCGGAUUCAUUGGGCGUAAAGGGUGCGUAGGCGGCGCGGUAAGUCGGGUGUGAAAUCUCGGAGCUUAACUCCGAAACUGCAUUCGAUACUGCCGUGCUUGAGGACUGGAGAGGAGACUGGAAUUUACGGUGUAGCGGUGAAAUGCGUAGAUAUCGUAAGGAAGACCAGUGGCGAAGGCGGGUCUCUGGACGACUCCUGACACUGAGGCACGAAAGCUAGGGGAGCAAACAGG